UACGUAGGGUGCGAGCGUUGUCCGGAAUUAUUGGGCGUAAAGAGCUCGUAGGCGGUCUGUCGCGUCGAUCGUGAAAACUUGGGGCUUAACCCUGAGCUCGCGGUCGAUACGGGCAUGACUGGAGUUCGGCAGGGGAGACUGGAAUUCCUGGUGUAGCGGUGAAAUGCGCAGAUAUCAGGAGGAACACCGGUGGCGAAGGCGGGUCUCUGGGCCGAUACUGACGCUGAGGUGCGAAAGCGUGGGGAGCAAACAGG
This 254-nucleotide ribosomal RNA is filed under the name uncultured bacterium. RNAcentral's name for it is "partial 16S ribosomal RNA". It matches the Rfam family "Bacterial small subunit ribosomal RNA", at positions 524 to 776 of the family's 1533-position model. The record is from RNAcentral.